Molecule: long non-coding RNA, 2225 nt
Organism: Dermacentor andersoni
Lineage: Eukaryota; Metazoa; Arthropoda; Arachnida; Ixodida; Ixodidae
Source: RefSeq, a predicted model, not a curated record
AGGCUUAACUUAGAAUCAUAAGGUCGGCUGGCACACUGAGUGCAGCCUGAACCAGGUUCAAUGACGAACUGUUUUAUCAGGUGCAGUUUCUAAGCCUCUUUUGUAGGGAUGCACUCCUUCAAAGGGGUGGAGGUGCAGUUGAAGGAUAAAACAACAAUAUAGAUUAUUGCUGAUACACAAGUGCAACAAUGCAUUUAUGGUACAUUCGACAGGUUCCUACUGGGCUUUGACAUGAUUUGUGCCAGUGCAGAGGCCUCUCAACAUCGGGGCCAGAGAGAGCGUGCUCAGACCAAUUGGAGGAGCAACAUCAUUGAAAUUCUGUCGGAUUUUCGUUGUGCUCCAACCUUGAAGGCGAGAACACCUGUGAACACUCGGAGUUGGAGCAUGCUGCUCUGAAUGAACCAGUGGAAUGUGUUCCGAGCAGACAAUUUCAGCCUGCCGAAUGUACACCGUACCAUGAAAGUGCUCUACAGUACUUGAAAGUGAUCAGUCAAAUGUACCAUUAGUAUGUCACAUACGUCAGAACAAUGUAAGGACUUCAAACCUAUAGAGGUUAAGAGCAGCAGAGAAAGGGGAAAAACACUUUUCUCGGGUUGCUGUGGAAAAGAAAGCAAACCUCAUUCCAAAACCUAUCACAAUUCUCACGAUCUGAUAUUCGCAUCCCCGAAAAGCAAAGUUUGGUUUCAUGAGUCAUGGUGCUAUGGGUACAACCUAGAAAGUAAACAACAGACAAGUCAAUGGAAGACAUCCGGCUCACGUCAUCCGAAAAUAGCUUGUCAGGUUAAAUCGAAUUGGAAGAUGAUGCUGAUCUGUCUUUUUGACAUUAAAGGGAUCGUACACUCAGAAUUCAUCCCUCAAAACCAAACCUUUGCUUUUUGAAAAAUAGGACACAAGUCCUAUUUCUUUAUUUUUGUACAUAACAAAUGCAGAGACGUUCUCUUAGGGCUUCUGCUGCACUGAGUUGAGUGCUCCUUUUUAAAAAAGAUUGUUAAAUUCCAGCAAUGCCACUCAUUCUAUGCUAUUCCGCAAUAGACUGUGUUCAAACGAAGACCAAGUGCUAGCUGCGCAUGUUGGCACUUGUUUCUUGUGCAUGAAUUCUUCAUGAAAGCCACACCUAUGUUUUCCGCAGCCAGUAGCUCCUCGUGCAAUGAUGCUGCUGCGAUACAACAGAUGCUUAAAGACCAGCUGAGCAAGAGACCAAUGGAAAGGAAAAUGAAGAGGGGCAUCUGGGCUCUGAGUGCGAGCUGGUUUCCAUCUUGAUCUCUGGCUGCACUACACAUGAAGGGCCAACAAGAAUUAUUCAUAACAUCUGAGGACAAACUUUGGAACAUAGUGGAUCGAGAACUGUCAAGGCACUCUGUACCUUUCAAUAGGGCACCAUUACAACAGAACAAUAGCUUCGUCAAAGUGAUCGCAGCAACGGUAAUACUUCCUCGGUCAAGUGCCCCUGCACUGACGGUUACGCUCCGAGAAAGAAGCUGCUACAACAGUAUAUAGCUACGGGAGGCGGAAAAGUGGGUGACGUCGACGGCUGCCUCCUCGGUGUCCUCGUGAGGACAGGAAAGGUGCUUGUUCCCUCCCCCCCAAGUUCUUCGCCAAUAGCGAGGACACGAGCUCGGAGGAAGCAGCAGGGCCCAGCGCUUCCCUCACAGAGACACCAGCAACAAGCGUCUUCGUGAUGUCGAGCCCUGCUGCUGUUGCUGGGCUGAGUGGCCUUACAUAGCCACCACAUACUCAGAUGCCACCUCAGCAGCCGCAGCCCCACCUAGGACUUCCAGCUCCGUAGGCGCCCUGCAGACAGCUGAAGCAGCAGGAGCUGGAAGACACCGUUUGCAGGAAGACUGCCGAGUACGUCCGGCAGGAGCAGUCAGCUGAGUUGAAGGCCCAAGAUGAGGCGACCCUCCUCUAGCAGUUGCUCGAGCAGAACCGACAGCUAUGCGCAAAGCCACAGAUGCAUUUUCUUGCGCAUGGUAUUGAAUAGCAUGUGCCCUUUGUAUUAUGUAAUUGUAUCGACCAGAAACAAGCAUAAAGUGUACUGUAACAAGCAUGUGACGUGCCCAUGGGCAUAAUCUUCGUUAGCCCGCCAGGCUCGGUGGGCAACAUUGGUCACAGCACCAAAUAAACACCGAUGAGCACAGCUGCUUGGCAGUCAGUCAUUGUUCGGCACCACCACGCUGUGGAGCGUCUGCCUAACGGAGGGUGCCUCAAGCCCGUCCUCGUUCACG